This is a long non-coding RNA of Homo sapiens (human), 2682 nucleotides long. RefSeq lists it as uncharacterized. The record is from RefSeq and is a predicted model, not a curated record. The transcript has 3 exons. NCBI's taxonomy places the organism in Eukaryota, Metazoa, Chordata, Mammalia, Primates, Hominidae.
AGGUCUUCCUAGCUCAUGUCAGUAUUGCACCAAGGGAGCUGGGCCAAACUUAGCAUACAAGCCCUGUAGGUAUGAGUAUAGGUGGAGAUGGGGGGUCAAGUUGGCCUCAGCUGAGAAGAGAGAGGCCCUCUGUGUUAGGAACCCAGGAAGGGCCAGAGACCAUGAGCAGUUUGAUGUGACCAAAAUGGAACUAAAUGGUUACAGUAUUAGCGUUUGCAGAUGACAUUGGAGAGGAAACCAUGAAGGAUCCAGUUAAUGGGCCCUUGAAGGUGAGUAUGGGAAGCUUGGACGUCACUGACCCUGUCUAGGUUUAGAUGCCCCAAACAUUCCACCUAGGCUUUCGCUCAGCCUUAUUCCUGGCACCCACCUUCCACCACCCAAUAUGAGUCCAUCCUCCACGCUGAUGCUGUCAUGAUCUUCCUGAAACACAACUUGGCCUAUCCCAGCACUCCCUCCUUCAGCUCCUUCAAUGUAUCCUUAUGGAGUAAAGUCCAAACUCCUAAGCCUGCCUUUCAAAGUCCUCCACAACCUCCUUUUGAGCAUGAUCCUUCAUGCACCUGUCCUUCUACAGGCCCCACCUCUCUGGCUGACUCGUGUUGGGCCCUCUACCCAUUCUCCUUCCUCUCUGCAACCUCCCUUGCCUUCUCCCAGGGUCUUCUGUUGAAGAUCUGUUAUUCUUUAAGGCCUGGUUCUAAUCUCAUGUCCUUCAAAACUCCUUUUAAGAUCUUCUAGUUUGAAAUAGUCUCUCAAGCCACUGUAUUUGUAUAUCAUGUAUCUACACCAGCACUUAUCUGUCUGCCCAGUAUCAGAGUUAUUUAUAAAUGUCUGUUUCUCCUAUUAUGUUGUAUGCUCUUAGAAAGCAAAAAUAGAAUUGACAAAAGAAAUAUUUGAUGAGUUUCUCGUAUUGGAGUUUAUAAAAACCUUUUUGGAAUAGUUCUAUAGAUAUCUAAACACUAAGAGCAACCAUCCUGAGCCUAGGACAUGCUGAUCUUUCAAGACCCACACAAUUUCUACUCCUUGUUCUAUGGUAGGUUAUCACUAGAUAAGAAAUGCCACCCUGACAGGCCAAGAAUCCUCCCCGCCCCUCUCAGCCCAGUGUUGUGUCUAACCGUGGAGCCAGGCUGGCGAUUUGGGGCAGAGCAUGGUGUUGAUAUCAAAACAUUUGGACAUCAUCCACCACACUGCCUUAGUCCCUUUACUCGACUCUGGACCUAUCAUCUGAGGUGAACACAUGACUGCUUAGUCUGUGAGGAAUGGAGGAACGCAGGAACUUAGCAAGGGAGGCAAGUGGUUAUACAGGGGGAAAAGCAGCCAUCUGAGAUAAUUUAUUGAGUAUACUUAUGUGCCAGGCUCUGGACCAGAGACUCUGGGUGAUACAACCCUGAAAGGCAGCAGAAAACAUGCUUGCUCUUCUUACUCAAGCAAGAGAGGGCCAGCCUCCUAGAAAAUGUUUACAAGCUUCAAAGAAGACGUGCUUGCAUGGGACAGCACGAGAAACAUCCCCAGGUUUUCUAUCUGGGGAGGGACAUGGCAGAAGCAGUAUUUUGGGAAGAUAUUUCUGGCAGCAGUAUGUACAGUCUAGACUGAAGAGGAGAAGGUGAAGCCAGGGAAGACUAACAACGAGUCCAGAGAUGGAGAGGAACAAACCUGACUGGGGUGGUGGCACAAAGGAGAGCAUGUCCUGUUCAUCCUUCCCUCCACAAAGCAGCUGGACAAGACCCAACCAGUGAUGGGAUCUCUGUAGCAUCAUUUUCCAAAGGAAGCUGGCACAUGACAAGUGCUGCCUCCAUUUCAAAAUCCAUUCAUGUACCGACAUUCGCCUACCCUCUCGGCCUUGAUCCCACUCUCCUGAGGUGCCUGAGGGAUCUUGCCACUGUGCGCAUGGCACUAAGGAACUCUGCCUGCCAGUCCCAGAACUGCUCUUGUCUCACUCUGUUACCUUAUGCAAAUGGCAGGCAUGGGAAGCCUGCUGCUCCAUCUGGGAAAUCCUCUGGACCACCCAACCUUCCUCUCGGAGAAAGUAAAGGGAGCAAUAAGGAAAUAUUUGCCAAGCCCUGUACAGCCACCUGUUUGCAGAGAGAGGGAGAGUUGCCAUAUUAAUUAUUAAGCAGACCUAUCUGAGCCAAAGAGAGUCAUGGAAACUUCAUUAUUAUGGGUGGUAUGUGGCUGUCUUUGGAAUAUUCUGCUUGCUUGGUUUCUAAUUUCCUUUUCUUACAUGAGUCUUUCUCCCUCAUAAAUCUUUGCAUCUCAAUGUUCUGUUCUCUCCUCCCUUGUGUUCUGAACUAGGAGUUCCCACAAACCCUCUGUGGUUAAAUCUACUCCUCUAAACACCACAGGCUCCAGGCAGCAUUGUUCAUGAAAGCGGGUGACACCCUUUGGCCUCCGCCCUCUAGAAGGGCCUGCUGAGUGAAGGCCCAGUCAGGGAGGGGAGGGAUGGAGGGGUGUUGAGGAGAUUGAGGUGGGCAGGGAGUCCCCCCACCUCUCCCAGCUGCCCAAGGAAACACUCUCCAACUGUUUCUCUAGAACAAACCAACCAACAAGCGCCAGGAGCCUUCCGUGAAUCUGACAGCCGGCUGAUCACAGAAUCCUCCCAGCAAUGGCACUUAGCCCAUAACUGGCAGCAAGUGCCCUCUAGAGGGAGUCAGAGGCAUCCUCUCUGAGAGGCAAAUUCUAAUGUCCUGC